UGAGUGAGGAAUAUUCGUAGA
Caenorhabditis elegans is the source of this 21-nucleotide non-coding RNA. NCBI's taxonomy places the organism in Eukaryota, Metazoa, Nematoda, Chromadorea, Rhabditida, Rhabditidae. The record is from Ensembl.